Pseudophryne corroboree (corroboree frog) is the source of this 488-nucleotide long non-coding RNA. RefSeq lists it as uncharacterized. The record is from RefSeq and is a predicted model, not a curated record. The transcript is spliced from 3 exons. Lineage: Eukaryota; Metazoa; Chordata; Amphibia; Anura; Myobatrachidae.
UGUAGGGGUUCACAGUCACGCAGAACAGUCCUGAGUAUGUCUGGGAGGAGAGACGUAACAUACAUGAAGCCUACAAGGGCAGAAAACCUACGUCUCCAGUAAAAAACCCAGAUGGUACUUGCAGAUGCACGCAAGACUUGCUGGUAAAGCGCCAUUACACCUCUUACCGCUGACAGCCAGUACCACUGAGGAGGGGAGAAUUACUCAGCUGCCCAGGUAUAUUAUGUUGUAGACAGGCUGAGCUGUGAGCGGAAAAGCUCUGCACCUACCACAAUGGGUUGCACAUAAUGGCCAAUUGGACAAUCGCAGAAAGACUGAAGAGCAUGAUAACACCAUCAUGGAUGGUACUGAAUAAAAACCAUGAUUGGGUGAGAUGAAACCUUGGUGGGGCAUUUGCACAAGGGCUGAAGGAUGCCCCCAUCAGUUCUCUGGGUCAUGAUGUGCAGUGCUGUUUUGGAGCCACUACAAAAUGUAUCCAAAUUGAAAUA